AACCUCCCGUAGUUUCUUCGCCAGCAAA
Molecule: non-coding RNA, 28 nt
Filed under: Bombyx mori (domestic silkworm)
Lineage: Eukaryota; Metazoa; Arthropoda; Insecta; Lepidoptera; Bombycidae
Source: RNAcentral